RNAcentral lists this ribosomal RNA (253 nucleotides) under uncultured bacterium. Its description in RNAcentral is "partial 16S ribosomal RNA". It matches the Rfam family "Bacterial small subunit ribosomal RNA", at positions 524 to 776 of the family's 1533-position model. The record is from RNAcentral.
UACGUAGGGGGCAAGCGUUGUCCGGAAUCAUUGGGCGUAAAGAGCGUGUAGGCGGCUCGAUAAGUCUGCUGUGAAAUCCCAGGGCUUAACCCUGGAACUGCCUGCGAGACCUCAGUACUAGAGUGUGAGAGGGGAUAGUGGAAUACCCAGUGUAGCGGUGAAAUGCGUAGAGAUUGGGUGGAACACCGGUGGCGAAGGCGGCUCACUGGCCCGGAACUGACGCUGAGGUGCGAAAGCGUGGGGAGCAAACAGG